UGGACAAUGGGCGCAAGCCUGAUCCAGCCAUGCCGCGUGAGUGAUGAAGGCCUUAGGGUUGUAAAGCUCUUUUAGCAGGGAAGAUAAUGACGGUACCUGCAGAAAAAGCCCCGGCUAACUUCGUGCCAGCAGCCGCGGUAAUACGAAGGGGGCUAGCGUUGCUCGGAAUUACUGGGCGUAAAGCGCACGUAGGCGGACUCUUAAGCCGGUGGUGAAAUCCUGGAGCUCAACUCCAGAACUGCCUUCGAUACUGGGAGUCUUGAGUUCGGGAGAGGUCAGUGGAACUGCCAGUGUAGAGGUGAAAUUCGUAGAUAUUCGCAAGAACACCAGUGGCGAAGGCGGCUCACUGGCCCGAUACUGACGCUGAGGUGCGAAAGCGUGGGGAGCAAACA
Molecule: ribosomal RNA, 392 nt
Filed under: uncultured bacterium
Lineage: Bacteria
Description: bacterial SSU rRNA
Rfam family: Bacterial small subunit ribosomal RNA
Source: RNAcentral